GGGAUCGAUACCCCGCAUCUCCAUUAUUAUUGUUGACAAGAAUAAGGAAGGAGAAGAGAAUGGGGGUUAGAUU
Molecule: transfer RNA, 73 nt
Filed under: Entamoeba moshkovskii
Lineage: Eukaryota; Evosea; Mastigamoebida; Endamoebidae
Description: tRNA-Ala
Source: RNAcentral